UUUCUUCUUUCUUGUUUUUGCUUUUGUUGUUUUGGAUUUGUGUUGCAGAGAUGAAUGAUCCUAAUCCCAAGUAUACUUCUCCUAAUCCUGCUCAAGGUUAUUAUCAAGGCCCCCCCAGUAAUGGCACCACCUCAGUAUACUGCUCCACCACCACCACCACGAAGCCAACCUGGUUUCCUUGAACAGUGGUGACGAAGAGGAACUCAUAGCUGGAGACGUCG
RNAcentral lists this unclassified non-coding RNA (221 nucleotides) under Hevea brasiliensis (rubber tree). The record is from RNAcentral. Lineage: Eukaryota; Viridiplantae; Streptophyta; Magnoliopsida; Malpighiales; Euphorbiaceae.